This 420-nucleotide ribosomal RNA is filed under the name Ctenophora environmental sample. RNAcentral's name for it is "partial Bacterial small subunit ribosomal RNA". It matches the Rfam family "Bacterial small subunit ribosomal RNA", at positions 354 to 792 of the family's 1533-position model. Lineage: Eukaryota; Metazoa; Ctenophora. The record is from RNAcentral.
GUGGGGAAUAUUGGACAAUGGGCGUAAGCCUGAUCCGGCAAUACCACGUGAGUGAUGAAGGCCUUAGGGUUGUAAAGCUCUUUUAUUAGGGAGGAUGAUGACAGUACCUAAUGAAUAAGCACCGACUAACUUCGUGCCAGCAGUCGCGGUAAUACGAAGGGUGCUAGUGUUACUCGGAAUGAUUGGGCGUAAAGAGUGCGUAGGCGGGUAAGAAAGUAGAUAAUUUAAUCCCAAGGCUUAACCUUGGUUCGUUAUCUAAACUUCUUACCUGGAGUGCAGGAGGGGCUGAUAGAACUCCUGGUGAAGGGGUAAAAUCCGUAGAUAUCAGGAAGAAGAUCCGAAGCGAAGGCUUUCAGCUGGACUGUAACUGACGCUGUAGCACGAAAGCGUGGGUAGCGAACAGGAUUAGAUACCCUGGUA